UACGGGGGGGCAAGCGUUGUUCGGAAUUACUGGGCGUAAAGGGCUCGUAGGCGGCCAACUAAGUCAUACGUGAAAUCCCUCGGCUUAACCGGGGAACUGCGUCUGAUACUGGAUGGCUUGAGUUCGGGAGAGGGAUGCGGAAUUCCAGGUGUAGCGGUGAAAUGCGUAGAUAUCUGGAGGAACACCGGUGGCGAAGGCGGCAUCCUGGACCGGCAUUGACGCUGAGGCGCGAAAGCCAGGGGAGCAAACGGG
Molecule: ribosomal RNA, 252 nt
Filed under: uncultured bacterium
Lineage: Bacteria
Description: partial 16S ribosomal RNA
Rfam family: Bacterial small subunit ribosomal RNA
Source: RNAcentral